RNAcentral lists this small nuclear RNA (296 nucleotides) under Mus pahari (shrew mouse). RNAcentral's name for it is "sRNA (MGP_PahariEiJ_G0008038.1)". It matches the Rfam family "7SK RNA". Rfam says of the family: 7SK was discovered as an abundant small nuclear RNA in the mid-70s but a possible function has only recently been suggested. Two independent studies have found that 7SK RNA binds the CDK9/cyclin T complex (known as elongation factor P-TEFb). The record is from RNAcentral. Lineage: Eukaryota; Metazoa; Chordata; Mammalia; Rodentia; Muridae.
GGAUAUAAGGGAAUCUUGGCAGUGACAAUGUAAUCAACUGAUUUUUGAGGAUGGACUUAGCUGAUUUUGCUGGCGAGGCUGAUAUUCCUCUCCUCCCUUACCACUCCAUGUACAUUUCUCCUGACACUGUGUGUUCCUUCCUAGAUGGAUAAAGACAGUUCUUCCAUCAAGUAUAUAUAUAUAUAUGAGCAGUUGUGCUCCAAAUGAGCUUGUAAGAUCCAUGUUUGGAGUGAUUCCUACACUAUACCUCCCCUUCCACACAACCAGGUAGGAAGCAGAACUCAUUUUCUCAGCCU